This 1864-nucleotide long non-coding RNA is filed under the name Nicotiana tabacum (common tobacco). Its description in RNAcentral is "long non-coding RNA (NTAB_LNC007762)". The record is from RNAcentral. Lineage: Eukaryota; Viridiplantae; Streptophyta; Magnoliopsida; Solanales; Solanaceae.
UUACUUCGGGUUCGAAAUCACUCACUUGACUAUUAAGCCUACGGGCUAGAUUACUUCGAGUUCGAAAUCACUCACUCGACUACUAAGCCUACAGGCUGCAUUACUUCGAGUUUGAAAUCACUCACUUGACUACUAAGCCUACGGGCUACAUUACUUCGAGUUCGAAAUCGCUCACUCGACUAUUAAGCCUACGGGCUAGAUUACUUCUAGUUCGAAAUCACUCACUCGACUACUAAGCCUACAAGCUGCAUUAUUUCGAGUUCAAAAUCACUCACUAGACUAUUAAGCAUUUGGGUUACCUUACUUCGAGUUCGAAAUCACUCACUCGACUACUAAGCCUACGGGCUACAUUACUUCGGGUUCGAAAUCACUCACUCGAUUACUAAGCCUACGGGCUACAUUAUUUCUAGUUUGAAAUCACUCACUCGACUGAGCUACAUUACAUCGAGUUCAAAAUCACUCACUCGAUUAUUAAGCCUACGAGCUACAUUACUUCGAGUUCGAAAUCACUCACUCGACUACUAAGCCUACGGGCUUCAUUACUUCGAGUUCGAAAUCACUCACUAGACUACUAAGCCUACGGGCUACAUUACUUCGAGUUCGAAAUCACUCACUCGACUACUAAGCCUACGGGCUACAUUACUUCGGGUUCGAAAUCACUCACUCGACUGAGCUACAUUACUUCGAGUUCAAAAUCACUCACUCGAUUAUUAAGCCUACGAGCUACAUUACUUCGAGUUCGAAAUCACUCACUCGAUUACUAAGCCUAUGGGCUACAUUACUUCGAGUUCGAAAUCACUCACUCGACUACUAAGUCUACGGGCUACAUUACUUCGAGUUCGAAAUCACUCACUCGACCACUAAGCCAACGGGCUACAUUACUUCGAGUUCAAAAUCACUCACUCGACUACUAAGCCUACGGGCUACAUUACUUCGAGUUCGAAAUCACUCGCUCGACUACUAAGCCUACGGGCUACAUUACUUCGAGUUCGAAAUCACUCACUCGACUAUUAAGCCUACGGGCUACAUUACAUCGAGUUCGAAAUCACUCACUCGACUACUAAGCCUACGGGCUACAUUAUUCGAGUUCGAAAUCACUCACUUGACUAUUAAGCCUACGGGCUACAUUACUUCGAGUUCGAAAUCACUCACUCGACUACUAAGCCUAUGGGAUACAUUACUUCGAGUUCGAAAUCACUCACUCGACUACUAAGCCUACGGGCUACAUUACUUCGAGUUCGAAAUCACUCACUCGACUACUAAGCCUACGGUAUACAUUACUUCGAGUUUGAAAUCACUCACUCGACUACUAAGCCUACGAGCUACAUUACUUCGAGUUCGAAAUCACUCACUUGACUAUUAAGCCUACGGGCUACAUUACUUCGAGUUCGAAAUCACUCACUCGACUACUAAGCCUACGGGCUACAUUACUUCGAGUUCGAAAUCACUCACUCGACUACUAAGCCUACGGGCUACAUUACUUCGGGUUCGAAAUCACUCACUCGACUACUAAGCCUACGGGCUACAUUACUUCGAGUUCGAAAUCACUCACUCAACUAUUAAGCCUACGGGCUACAUUACUGCGAGUUCGAAAACACUCACUCGACUAUUAAGCCUUUGGGUUACCUUACUUCGAGUUCGAAUCACUCACUCGACUACUAAGCCUACGAGCUACAUUACUUCUAGUUUGAAAUCACUCACUUGACUACUAAGCCUACGGGUUACAUUACUUCGAGUUCGAAAUCACACACUCGACUACUAAGCCUACGGGCUACAUUACUUCGAGUUCAAAAUCACUCACUCGACUACUAAGCCUACGGGCUACAUUACUUCGAGUUCGAAAUCACUCACUCGACUACUAAGC